This 253-nucleotide ribosomal RNA is filed under the name uncultured bacterium. RNAcentral's name for it is "partial 16S ribosomal RNA". It matches the Rfam family "Bacterial small subunit ribosomal RNA", at positions 524 to 776 of the family's 1533-position model. The record is from RNAcentral.
UACGAAGGGGGCUAGCGUUGUUCGGAAUCACUGGGCGUAAAGCGCGUGUAGGCGGAUUGUUAAGUCGGGGGUGAAAUCCCGAGGCUCAACCUCGGAACUGCCUUUGAUACUGCAAAUCUCGAGUCCGGAAGAGGUGAGUGGAAUUCCUAGUGUAGAGGUGAAAGUCGUAGAUAUUAGGAAGAACACCAGUGGCGAAGACGGCUCACUGGUCCGGUACUGACGCUGAGGUGCGAAAGCGUGGGGAGCAAACAGG